RNAcentral lists this ribosomal RNA (421 nucleotides) under uncultured bacterium. RNAcentral's name for it is "bacterial SSU rRNA". It matches the Rfam family "Bacterial small subunit ribosomal RNA", at positions 29 to 465 of the family's 1533-position model. The record is from RNAcentral.
AAUGAACGUUGGCGGCGUGGAUUAGGCAUGCAAGUCGAGCGGAAAGGCCCGCAAGGGCACUCGAGCGGCGUAAGGGACAGUAAUGUGUAGGUAACGUACCCCUGGGUCUAGGAUAGCUGCGGGAAACUGCAAUUAAUACUAGAUAACGUCUCCGGACCAAAGGUGUGAUUCCACCUGGGGAGCGGCCUACAUCCUAUUAGCUAGUUGGCGAGGUAAUGGCUCACCAAGGCGAAGAUGGGUAGCAGGUGUGAGAGCACGACCUGCGUCACUGGGACUGAGACACUGCCCAGACACCUACGGGUGGCUGCAGUCGAGAAUCUUCGGCAAUGGGCGAAAGCCUGACCGAGCGACGCCGCGUGUGGGAUGAAGGCCUUCGGUUGUAAACCGACUGUCGGAGGGGAGUGAAGUGUUAGUGGGUUCG